CAGCCGCCGCGGUAAUACGUAGGUGGCGAGCGUUGUCCGGAAUUAUUGGGCGUAAAGGGCUCGCAGGCGGUUUCUUAAGUCUGAUGUGAAAGCCCCCGGCUCAACCGGGGAGGGUCAUUGGAAACUGGGAAACUUGAGUGCAGAAGAGGAGAGUGGAAUUCCACGUGUAGCGGUGAAAUGCGUAGAGAUGUGGAGGAACACCAGUGGCGAAGGCGACUCUCUGGUCUGUAACUGACGCUGAGGAGCGAAAGCGUGGGGAGCGAACAGGAUUAGAUACCCCGGUAGUCCCUGUCUCUUAUAA
This 301-nucleotide ribosomal RNA is filed under the name uncultured bacterium. Its description in RNAcentral is "partial 16S ribosomal RNA". It matches the Rfam family "Bacterial small subunit ribosomal RNA", at positions 509 to 809 of the family's 1533-position model. The record is from RNAcentral.